This 600-nucleotide ribosomal RNA is filed under the name Escherichia coli. RNAcentral's name for it is "bacterial SSU rRNA". It matches the Rfam family "Bacterial small subunit ribosomal RNA", at positions 39 to 632 of the family's 1533-position model. The record is from RNAcentral. Lineage: Bacteria; Pseudomonadati; Pseudomonadota; Gammaproteobacteria; Enterobacterales; Enterobacteriaceae.
GCGGAAGACUACCAUGCAGUCGAACGGUAACAGGAAACAGCUUGCUGUUUUGCUGACGAGUGGCGGACGGGUGAGUAAUGUCUGGGAAACUGCCUGAUGGAGGGGGAUAACUACUGGAAACGGUAGCUAAUACCGCAUAACGUCGCAAGACCAAAGAGGGGGACCUUCGGGCCUCUUGCCAUCGGAUGUGCCCAGAUGGGAUUAGCUAGUAGGUGGGGUAACGGCUCACCUAGGCGACGAUCCCUAGCUGGUCUGAGAGGAUGACCAGCCACACUGGAACUGAGACACGGUCCAGACUCCUACGGGAGGCAGCAGUGGGGAAUAUUGCACAAUGGGCGCAAGCCUGAUGCAGCCAUGCCGCGUGUAUGAAGAAGGCCUUCGGGUUGUAAAGUACUUUCAGCGGGGAGGAAGGGAGUAAAGUUAAUACCUUUGCUCAUUGACGUUACCCGCAGAAGAAGCACCGGCUAACUCCGUGCCAGCAGCCGCGGUAAUACGGAGGGUGCAAGCGUUAAUCGGAAUUACUGGGCGUAAAGCGCACGCAGGCGGUUUGUUAAGUCAGAUGUGAAAUCCCCGGGCUCAACCUGGGAACUGCAUCUGAUA